AUUCUAGAUUCUGCCAGGAACUUAAACAAUCCUCUGUCGAUAGUUUGCUGUUAAAAAUCAGUGCCUGUCUGGAAUCCUCUCCUUUCUACCUAUUUCUUGUUUUCCCUCCAGUAGUUGGGUUUCUGGAUAUAUUUGGACCUGAGAUCUUCAACACGUGAUCUGAGAACACCAGCACCCGAAACACAUUUUUCUUAUUUAAAGUUCUCUUUUCUGGUCUCCACGUUAAUAUUACUGGAUCAGAAUUUCUGGAAUGAGGCCCAGACUAUACAUUUUUACCCAAAUUGUCCAGGUGCUUCUUAUGCAUACCAAAGUUUGAGAAACACUGCUUUUGAUAAUCUCCAUCAAUAGUUGCCUCUUUCCCUAACAGAUCCAGAAACUUCCCCUUAACUGGCUCUGAAAUUUGGCUCCUAUUCCUCAAUAUCAUCUACAAAUUUCACUUAGAGGUUACUUAUAACCCCCUAAAUGGCCUUUUCCCAGUACCUAUCCUUCCUGACGUCUUUGUAGCAUAAAAGAAUAGUCAUGUCAUAAAGCAUUGAACUUGUGAACCUUCAGUUAUGCUCACUUGGCCAAAGACAAAGGAAAGAAAAUGACAACAUAAGCAGAUGAUUUAUGUACCAUUCCAGUCAAUGACCUCUGCUUCAAACAGGCAUCAGAUGGGAUACUUGAACCCACCACCAUCCAGUAGGUCUCUCAUACUGUGAGCUACUAGCUCACUGAGUGUGAGUCCAGUGUUGAAAACUCUGUGUUUUACAUUCAACAUGAUCCCUACAUAAAAUUCAAUUAUGUCUUAUGGAUUGGGGAAG
Molecule: long non-coding RNA, 803 nt
Filed under: Equus caballus (horse)
Lineage: Eukaryota; Metazoa; Chordata; Mammalia; Perissodactyla; Equidae
Description: lncRNA (ENSECAG00000054172.1)
Source: RNAcentral